CUAGUAACGGCGAGUGAAGCGGCAACAGCUCAAAUUUGAAAUCUGGCCUUCGGGUCCGAGUUGUAAUUUGUAGAGGAUGCUUUUGGCGCGGUGCCUUCCGAGUUCCCUGGAACGGGACGCCUUAGAGGGUGAGAGCCCCGUACGGUUGGACACCAAGCCUCUGUAAAGCUCCUUCGACGAGUCGAGUAGUUUGGGAAUGCUGCUCUAAAUGGGAGGUAAAUUUCUUCUAAAGCUAAAUAUUGGCCAGAGACCGAUAGCGCACAAGUAGAGUGAUCGAAAGAUGAAAAGCACUUUGAAAAGAGGGUUAAAUAGCACGUGAAAUUGUUGAAAGGGAAGCGUUUGCGACCAGACUUUUCCCUAGCGGAUCAUCCGGUGUUCUCACCGGUGCACUUCGCUAGGUUAAGGCCAGCAUCGGUUUCUGUAGGGGGAUAAAAGCUUGGGGAAUGUAGCUCCCUCGGGAGUGUUAUAGCCUCUUGUAUAAUACCCUUACGGGGACCGAGGACCGCGCUUUUGCAAGGAUGCUGGCGUAAUGGUUGUCAACGACCCGUCUUGAAACACGGACCAAGGAGUCGAACAUUUGUGCGAGUGUUUGGGUGUUAAACCCUCACGCGUAAUGAAAGUGAACGGAGGUGAGAGCCCUUACGGGUGCAUCAUCGACCGAUCCUGAUGUCUUCGGAUGGAUUUGAGUAAGAGCAUAACUGUUCGGACCCGAAAGAUGGUGAACUAUGCGUGGAUAGGGUGAAGCCAGAGGAAACUCUGGUGGAGGCUCGCAGCGGUUCUGACGUGCAAAUCGAUCGUCAAAUCUGCGCAUGGGGGCGAAAGACUUAUCGAACCAUCUAGUAGCUGGUUACCGCCGAAGUUUCCCUCAGGAUAGCAGUGUUGUUCUUCAGUUUUAUGAGGUAAAGCGAAUGAUUAGGGACUCGGGGGCGCUUUUUAGCCUUCAUCCAUUCUCAAACUUUAAAUAUGUAAGAAGCCCUUGUUACUUAAUUGAACGUGGGCAUUCGAAUGUACCAACACUAGUGGGCCAUUUUUGG
This 1034-nucleotide ribosomal RNA is filed under the name Xylaria sp. DIS 99a. Its description in RNAcentral is "eukaryotic LSU rRNA". It matches the Rfam family "Eukaryotic large subunit ribosomal RNA", at positions 80 to 1140 of the family's 3401-position model. The record is from RNAcentral. Lineage: Eukaryota; Fungi; Ascomycota; Sordariomycetes; Xylariales; Xylariaceae.